AGCAGCAGCCGCGGGAAUACGGAGGAUCCAAGCGUUAUCCGGAAUCAUUGGGUUUAAAGGGUCCGUAGGCGGUCUUGUAAGUCAGUGGUGAAAGCCCAUCGCUCAACGGUGGAACGGCCAUUGAUACUGCAGGACUUGAAUUAUUGGGAAGUAACUAGAAUAUGUAGUGUAGCGGUGAAAUGCUUAGAGAUUACAUGGAAUACCAAUUGCGAAGGCAGGUUACUACCAAUUGAUUGACGCUGAUGGACGAAAGCGUGGGUAGCGAACAGGAUUAGAUACCCCAGUAGUCCCUGUCUCUUAUAA
Molecule: ribosomal RNA, 303 nt
Filed under: uncultured bacterium
Lineage: Bacteria
Description: partial 16S ribosomal RNA
Rfam family: Bacterial small subunit ribosomal RNA
Source: RNAcentral